UACGAAGGGGGCUAGCGUUGCUCGGAAUUACUGGGCGUAAAGCGUACGUAGGCGGUCUUUUAAGUCGGGGGUGAAAUCCUGGAGCUCAACUCCAGAACUGCCUUCGAUACUGGAAGACUUGAGUCCGGGAGAGGUGAGUGGAACUGCGAGUGUAGAGGUGAAAUUCGUAGAUAUUCGCAAGAACACCAGUGGCGAAGGCGGCUCACUGGCCCGGUACUGACGCUGAGGUGCGAAAGCGUGGGGAGCAAACAGG
RNAcentral lists this ribosomal RNA (253 nucleotides) under uncultured bacterium. RNAcentral's name for it is "partial 16S ribosomal RNA". It matches the Rfam family "Bacterial small subunit ribosomal RNA", at positions 524 to 776 of the family's 1533-position model. The record is from RNAcentral.